AGCUUUGUGCAGCGGCAGUAUUGUAGCCAAUAAGGUCUUUUUGAAGUGCAAUUAUUGUUAAUUGAAUGUGGUAUCAGUUACAAUUUUCCACCCAGAUUGUUGUCAUUUUUGGCUUAUACGUAUUUGCCACUUGAAAAAAGUACAUGCAGAAUUCAUGGGAACACGGCAACCUCACAGCAGUGACCUCCUAGUGAAUGUCUGGAAAUGCUGAUCACUGGUCCAGCCAAGCA
Molecule: small nuclear RNA, 230 nt
Filed under: Cavia aperea (Brazilian guinea pig)
Lineage: Eukaryota; Metazoa; Chordata; Mammalia; Rodentia; Caviidae
Description: U4 spliceosomal RNA (ENSCAPG00000002559.1)
Source: RNAcentral